Acetivibrio ethanolgignens is the source of this 72-nucleotide transfer RNA. It matches the Rfam family "tRNA". From Rfam's summary of the family: Transfer RNA (tRNA) molecules are approximately 80 nucleotides in length. The record is from Rfam. Lineage: Bacteria; Bacillati; Bacillota; Clostridia; Acetivibrionales; Acetivibrionaceae.
GGCCAGUUGGUCAAGCGGCUAAGACGCCGCCCUCUCACGGCGGAAACAGGGGUUCGAUUCCCCUACUGGCUG